GAGGAACCUUAAUGUUACUGACCUUGGCCACAGGUAUACCAGUCUGUGGCUGAGAUAAAACGUAAUUGAUACGUAAAAAAAAUUAUAAAGACAUUACAACAUUAAAUACAGUUUGAGGAGAAUCCCCUUAACCAAAUUUAUUUCUUACUCCCUUCUGAUCUAUGCAUUACAUAUUUGAACAUAAAUGGAACAUAACACGAGAUUAUAUCAGCUUUAAAAAAUUAACAUUGUAAUAUUUUCCCAUGUUAUCUAUUUCUUCCUAGUUUAUAUUAAUGUUUACAUAACAUUUUACCAACUUGAUGUAAUAUUUAUUAACCAUUACCUUGUUUGCUUAUUGUUUCCAAUUUUCUCUGUUAUAAAAUAAUGAUACAAUGAAUCCCUUUCUACAUAUAAUUCUUUUUUUCUUUGAAAAAAUUGUAUGGAAGUGGGAUUACUAGGUCAAAGUUUGGGCAUAUACUUAACAGCUUUUGAUAGGUUUCAAAAGAAAUGAAUGCCACAGUGCCCCAGGCAAUCAAAUUACUCUCCUUUAUCUUCAGUGUUCUUUUUAGAAUGUUCUUUAUGGUCACCUGUUUUUUCAAAUUGACUCUAGAAUCAUGUUGUCAAGUUUUGUACUUAAAAUACUAUUAGAAUAGGUUGUGUUGACUGAGAUUUAGAGCAAGUAUUUACUGCAGAGAUGCCUCAGAGAGGACUAUCUUUGCAAACUGGAUUUCUUAUGCUACAAACCAAGUAUUUAUCCUGUUCCCCAAACGCUGUGAGCAGAAUUGCUUGGAAGGAAGCAAUCAUCAUUAAUGGACUGCAAUUCCCUAAAUUCACAUUACUUUGGCUGAACUUUGAGUCAACAAGCAAUUCAAACUAAAGAUGGUUGGUAUUUGCCAAUACAGACCUGUUUAACCUCUAGUUUAAUAGAAACUCCAAUUGGGAGAUUUUCUUUUUCUUUUCCUCUAUACCAAGCAGUGAUGGGAGAUUUACCUGGUGAGUUUGUAAAGUACUGCAGGCUGUUUCUUCACAGCUCUGGAAGGGAGGAGACAGCAAUGAAGAGUCUCAUGUCUUUCAAGAUGGAUCUUCUAAGCAGCAGAUUCGGAUCUCAUCAAAACUAGCAAGACUUUAUUGGGAGACAUGGUCUUGACACUUACCCCACCCUUUGGAGUCUAUUUGAGAACUGAAUGAGGAACACACACAGGUAUAUCUGCGGAAUUUUUAAACAUGAAGAGGGAGUGGUUACUUAAUUAAGAGGAAAUAAAUGAGAAGUAGUCUGUAUAUCCCAGCUGACACUAUUUUAUGGUUUUGUUUUUGGUUCUUUGCUUGUUGCCUGUGCCCCAGGAAGAAAAACACCUGUAUUUGGGAGUGAUUUUCAAAAUAUUUUACAACUGGUGCUGCACUGAUCAGUCAGAAUGUAGGGCUGGAGCAGAGUCCCGGAAGAUCCUCUACUGUGCUGGGCAGUAAACCCUUCAGUUGCUGAGUAGAGGAUAAGUCUGGGAGGGUCCUGAGUAAAAGAGUGAGGCAAGUGAGGGAAACUUAGGUUUGGGACAAGGGCCCCUCUCAAGCAAGUGUGGAAGUAUUUUAAUAUUUUGGUAACCCAG
This is a long non-coding RNA of Equus asinus (donkey), 1580 nucleotides long. NCBI's taxonomy places the organism in Eukaryota, Metazoa, Chordata, Mammalia, Perissodactyla, Equidae. The record is from Ensembl.